GACGAACGCUGGCGGCGUGCUUAACACAUGCAAGUCGAACGGAAAGGCCCUGCUUUUGUGGGGUGCUCGAGUGGCGAACGGGUGAGUAACACGUGAGUAACCUGCCCUUGACUUUGGGAUAACUUCAGGAAACUGGGGCUAAUACCGGAUAGGAGCUCCUGCUGCAUGGUGGGGGUUGGAAAGUUUCGGCGGUUGGGGAUGGACUCGCGGCUUAUCAGCUUGUUGGUGGGGUAGUGGCUUACCAAGGCUUUGACGGGUAGCCGGCCUGAGAGGGUGACCGGCCACCUUGGGACUGGGAUACCGCCCCGACUCCUACGGGAGGCAGCAGUGGGGAAUAUUGCCCAAUGGGCGGAAGCCUGAUGCAGCAACGCCGCGUGCGGGAUGACGGCCUUCGGGUUGUAAACCGCUUUCGCCUGUGACGAAGCGUGAGUUACGGUAAUGGGUAAAGAAGCACCGGCUAACUACGUG
This 468-nucleotide ribosomal RNA is filed under the name uncultured bacterium. Its description in RNAcentral is "partial 16S ribosomal RNA". It matches the Rfam family "Bacterial small subunit ribosomal RNA", at positions 28 to 507 of the family's 1533-position model. The record is from RNAcentral.